UUGAGUGGGUCUAAAACUUCCUUAUUCUAGGUUAUUUGGUACUGCCUUCUUUUGUGGACUCCUAGGAAUUCCGUAUAGAGAAAAAGACAGUCUUCAAGUUGAACUAGCUCUAGGGUUGCUGAAACGGUCUAAAACUUCCUUAUUCUAGGUUAUUUGGUACUGCCUUCUUUUGUGGACUCCUAGGAAUUCCGUAUAGAGAAAAAGACAGUCUUCAAGUCGAACUAGCUCUAGGGUUGCAGAAACCUCUAUGCCUUCGACGGAGUACAUGUUUCUGAAGUUCCAUUCUUUACUAGCGGGGCAAAACCUCUGCCUUAAGGAAAAGUGUAUAACCCCAAGGCUACGAACCAAAGGAGAGAGGCUAGGUCUCAAUCAAUAGAAAGAAAAGCAAAAAGUCUUAGCCCACACUAAAAGAAUCAAAAUAGUUAACUGGCGAAAAAAAGAGAGAGCGUUGAGAGAAUCGGUAUGGUCAUAGCAACAUCCUUCUUAUUACAGCACAAACCACAAAAAAGGAAUUGCCUAUAGAGAGGAAGUAGGCUUUAGACAAAAAGUGCCUCUUGUGCCCCUAGUAGGGAAAGCAGCUGAGAUAGAGAGAGCAGCUCUCCCUUAAAGUCCUUUAUAGAUUUCUAGUCGGGAAUAGAGCUGUGGCUUAGAUCCCCUGAUCGAGUAAUGGGCUUUGUUUUUCUCUCGUUCACGUUGAUAGCCCCGGUUCAGUUCAAGCU
This 719-nucleotide long non-coding RNA is filed under the name Nicotiana benthamiana. RNAcentral describes it as "long non-coding RNA (NBEN_LNC039856)". Lineage: Eukaryota; Viridiplantae; Streptophyta; Magnoliopsida; Solanales; Solanaceae. The record is from RNAcentral.